RNAcentral lists this ribosomal RNA (253 nucleotides) under uncultured bacterium. RNAcentral describes it as "partial 16S ribosomal RNA". It matches the Rfam family "Bacterial small subunit ribosomal RNA", at positions 524 to 776 of the family's 1533-position model. The record is from RNAcentral.
UACGUAGGGUGCAAGCGUUGUCCGGAAUUAUUGGGCGUAAAGAGCUCGUAGGCGGUCUGUCACGUCGGCUGUGAAAUCCCGAGGCUCAACCUCGGGUCUGCAGUCGAUACGGGCAAACUAGAGUAUUGCAGGGGAGACUGGAAUUCCCGGUGUAGUGGUGAAAUGCGUAGAUAUCGGGAGGAACACCAGUGGCGAAGGCGACUUCCUGGCCUGUUCUUGACGCUGAGGCGCGAAAGCUAGGGUAGCAAACGGG